UUACAGGUGGGGCUUUUUUUCUUAAACCUUUAUCCAUCUUGAAAAUUCUUCUCCAGGAGAGGGAAGAAUGGUUAUCUUCAUUUGAUCAAUGGGAGAGGAGGCACAAGACAAGAUGUACAUGGAAGAUCUGUCUUAACAACUUUCAUUCUCAGUGGCCUGAUUGUCAGCAGCAGUAGCCUCUUUUCAGCAAGGGAGAUGGAUGCACUACACUAUGUACAUCAGCAGUAAACAAGGAAGUAUGGCAUUAUCUGUUCUUAGUGAGUGAAGGAGCAGAGACAAAAACUACUAUCAGAAGGAGCAGGAGGGAAAAGUAAUGUAAAACUUUGCUAGUGUUGAGUUCUGGGAACACAUCCAGAUACUCCAGAAGAGUAAAAUGAAUUCAGGUAACUAAUAUCACUACGGUGUGUAACUCAAAAUAAUUAAAUUACAUUGUCAUUUGUUUGUGACAAAGAGGGAAGG
RNAcentral lists this long non-coding RNA (459 nucleotides) under Phasianus colchicus (ring-necked pheasant). Its description in RNAcentral is "lncRNA (ENSPCLG00000003762.1)". The record is from RNAcentral. Lineage: Eukaryota; Metazoa; Chordata; Aves; Galliformes; Phasianidae.